RNAcentral lists this transfer RNA (158 nucleotides) under Desulfosarcina ovata subsp. sediminis. RNAcentral's name for it is "tRNA-Ser". The record is from RNAcentral. Lineage: Bacteria; Pseudomonadati; Thermodesulfobacteriota; Desulfobacteria; Desulfobacterales; Desulfosarcinaceae.
GGUCCGUUGUGAUAGAUAAAGCUGAUCUACAAGAGAUUGAAGAAAGUAUUGGAUAACGCUACAAUUUCUUAUUUAACUCUACCUUGUCACAUUAAAAAAUUACCGAUAAAAUAUGUGUAAUCAGUAGGUUGAAGGUUCGAUUCCUUCACGGCCCACCA